This 136-nucleotide non-coding RNA is filed under the name Corethron hystrix. Lineage: Eukaryota; Bacillariophyta; Corethrophyceae; Corethrales; Corethraceae. The record is from RNAcentral.
GCAUGUUUAGUAGUACCUUUUUGUUAAUACUUUUUUUAUCUUUUCCCACACUUUUAAGGUGUUUCAUUUGCCUCAUUUAAAGCCAUGAAGGAAUUCUGGGAUGAAGAGAAUAAAGCAAAAAAAAGAAAAUAUGGCG